This 497-nucleotide ribosomal RNA is filed under the name uncultured bacterium. RNAcentral describes it as "partial 16S ribosomal RNA". It matches the Rfam family "Bacterial small subunit ribosomal RNA", at positions 28 to 507 of the family's 1533-position model. The record is from RNAcentral.
GAUGAACGCUGGCGGCGUGCCUAAUACAUGCAAGUCGAGCGAACGGACGAGAAGCUUGCUUCUCUGAUGUUAGCGGCGGACGGGUGAGUAACACGUGGAUAACCUACCUAUAAGACUGGGAUAACUUCGGGAAACCGGAGCUAAUACCGGAUAAUAUUUUGAACCGCAUGGUUCAAAAGUGAAAGACGGUCUUGCUGUCACUUAUAGAUGGAUCCGCGCUGCAUUAGCUAGUUGGUAAGGUAACGGCUUACCAAGGCAACGAUGCAUAGCCUACCUGAGAGGGUGAUCGGCCACACUGGAACUGAGACACGGUCCAGACUCCUACGGGAGGCAGCAGUAGGGAAUCUUCCGCAAUGGGCGAAAGCCUGACGGAGCAACGCCGCGUGAGUGAUGAGGGUCUUCGGAUCGUAAAACUCUGUUAUUAGGGAAGAACAUAUGUGUAAGUAACUGUGCACAUCUUGACGGUACCUAAUCAGAAAGCCACGGCUAACUACGUG